UUGACCUCAAAUCAGGUAGGACUACCCGCUGAACUUAAGCAUAUCAAUAAGCGGAGGAAAAGAAACUAACAAGGAUUCCCCUAGUAACUGCGAGUGAACCGGGAAAAGCUCAAAUUUUGAAUCUGGCGGUCUUUCGGCCGUCCGAGUUGUAAUCUAGAGAAGCGUCUUCCGCGCUGGA
This 178-nucleotide ribosomal RNA is filed under the name Suillus granulatus. RNAcentral's name for it is "partial 28S ribosomal RNA". It matches the Rfam family "Eukaryotic large subunit ribosomal RNA", at positions 1 to 174 of the family's 3401-position model. The record is from RNAcentral. Lineage: Eukaryota; Fungi; Basidiomycota; Agaricomycetes; Boletales; Suillaceae.